AACUCUGGUAUUGAUUGGUGCUUGCAUCAUGAUUUACAUUUGAGUGAGUGGCGAACUGGUGAGUAACACGUGGGAAACCUGCCCAGAAGCGGGGGAUAACACCUGGAAACAGAUGCUAAUACCGCAUAACAACUUGGACCGCAUGGUCCGAGCUUGAAAGAUGGCUUCGGCUAUCACUUUUGGAUGGUCCCGCGGCGUAUUAGCUAGAUGGUGAGGUAACGGCUCACCAUGGCAAUGAUACGUAGCCGACCUGAGAGGGUAAUCGGCCACAUUGGGACUGAGACACGGCCCAAACUCCUACGGGAGGCAGCAGUAGGGAAUCUUCCACAAUGGACGAAAGUCUGAUGGAGCAACGCCGCGUGAGUGAAGAAGGGUUUCGGCUCGUAAAACUCUGUUGUUAAAGAAGAACAUAUCUGAGAGUAACUGUUCAGGUAUUGACGGUAUUUAACCAGAAAGCCACGGCUAACUACGUGCCAGCAGCCGCGGUAAUACGUAGGUGGCAAGCGUUGUCCGGAUUUAUUGGGCGUAAAGCGAGCGCAGGCGGUUUUUUAAGUCUGAUGUGAAAGCCUUCGGCUCAACCGAAGAAGUGCAUCGGAAACUGGGAAACUUGAGUGCAGAAGAGGACAGUGGAACUCCAUGUGUAGCGGUGAAAUGCGUAGAUAUAUGGAAGAACACCAGUGGCGAAGGCGGCUGUCUGGUCUGUAACUGACGCUGAGGCUCGAAAGUAUGGGUAGCAAACAGGAUUAGAUACCCUGGUAGUCCAUACCGUAAACGAUGAAUGCUAAGUGUUGGAGGGUUUCCGCCCUUCAGUGCUGCAGCUAACGCAUUAAGCAUUCCGCCUGGGGAGUACGGCCGCAAGGCUGAAACUCAAAGGAAUUGACGGGGGCCCGCACAAGCGGUGGAGCAUGUGGUUUAAUUCGAAGCUACGCGAAGAACCUUACCAGGUCUUGACAUACUAUGCAAAUCUAAGAGAUUAGACGUUCCCUUCGGGGACAUGGAUACAGGUGGUGCAUGGUUGUCGUCAGCUCGUGUCGUGAGAUGUUGGGUUAAGUCCCGCAACGAGCGCAACCCUUAUUAUCAGUUGCCAGCAUUAAGUUGGGCACUCUGGUGAGACUGCCGGUGACAAACCGGAGGAAGGUGGGGAUGACGUCAAAUCAUCAUGCCCCUUAUGACCUGGGCUACACACGUGCUACAAUGGAUGGUACAACGAGUUGCGAACUCGCGAGAGUAAGCUAAUCUCUUAAAGCCAUUCUCAGUUCGGAUUGUAGGCUGCAACUCGCCUACAUGAAGUCGGAAUCGCUAGUAAUCGCGGAUCAGCAUGCCGCGGUGAAUACGUUCCCGGGCCUUGUACACACCGCCCGUCACACCAUGAGAGUUUGUAACACCCAAAGUCCGGUG
Molecule: ribosomal RNA, 1398 nt
Filed under: Lactiplantibacillus plantarum
Lineage: Bacteria; Bacillati; Bacillota; Bacilli; Lactobacillales; Lactobacillaceae
Description: bacterial SSU rRNA
Rfam family: Bacterial small subunit ribosomal RNA
Source: RNAcentral